UCAAAGAUGUCACUUAACAAAUAACAACCUGUGGAAUAAAAUGUUUCAAAAUGUCUAAAAUGCCAAAAUUGAAAAUUGUUUUGUUGAUACUGAAUAGAUAGCCAUUCCAAGUCUCACGUAAUAUACUAAUAAAGGAUACCAAACCGAUGACUAAUGGAGGUCGGAAUCCUGAUCUAUUUGAGGAUUUGACUAUUUGAGGAGAUGUGUGCCAACAGUCAUUGACGACGCACCUCAAUCACGAAGUGAAGAAACUGAUUCAAGUUGAAGGAAGGAGUAGGGGAUGAAAAUGCCCAAAAUGGCAGAAGUAGAUUUCAUGUCUUCUCCAGUGGUGAUUUCCUCGCUGGUUAUAAUAUUGUUAACGACAAGACAAGGAUGGACACCAGUUAAUUUUAACUCCUCAAGAAGUCAUGUGUAGAAGAAAAACAGAAAAAAAUUUAACUCCUCAAGAAGUCAUGUGUAGAAGAAAAACAGAAAAACAUUUGUGGGAAUGAAAAAUGCCAUGACAUUAGGCUAGGUUUUCCACAUUCACAUGCCAUGUCAUGCAAUUAAAGAAAAAUGUGAGAAAAAGUUUGAUGAUCUACGGAAGAAGCCAAAUCAAAGGAGUGAGUAAAGGCUUGCCAAAGAAAUCAGAAAAAAUAAUAAUGUCCAAUAGCUGGGCAAGCUUAUGUGGCUUUGAAAAAAAAAAGACGUGACAUGUGACUUUGAAUAGGGUGGUGUGAAAGCAAAAGAAAAAUUUAACUCUCAGAUGCUGGCCUUACCAUUUACAUCAGACUUCUUUCACGGGGAUUUCGCAAUUAUUCCUCGUAGUACGAAUACAAGAUUCGACUAGAAAAUUUUCACACAAGCUGAAUUUAAAGGAUUGAACACGAUGUCAAUGCCCAUCAGAGAGCCGCCAUUCUCAAAAAGUUGAUACCAAGCCAUACAAACCAUACGAGCGUGCGUAAGGUAGAAAACGUCACUAGCUGGAGAAAAAUCUUCGACGGCAGUUCACCCUAAAAAAGAAGCAAAAUUAUUCGUCACCGAGAAAAUUGUAUCUGGAAGAUUCUACAUGGUCAAAAGCCAUAUUCUCGUCUUCCCCUGGUUGAUGGAAAUUUUGAUCAUAUUCACAAUUUACUCAAAUUUACGGUGGACUUAAUGAAAAAGCUCCCAUUCUCCUCUAAUGAUUGGAGCUCUGGAUUGGAGAUCAAGUGCAAUUUUUUUGCUUGCUAUGCCCAAAAUAGUCACGAAAUUAACCCAUGUUGUGAAUUAUUAGUAACAGAUAUCGUUAUUUCAGAGGAGAGCCUACCUCCUGCAGUACUAGGUGAACCAGCCAACUUAAAAAAUCCUUCAAUCUUGUAAAUGUUACGUAGCUUCGUGUCAUCUUCGCUGUCUGAAAGUAGUAAGUUUACAAACGCAUUAUUUCUUAAACAUUUUGAUUCGUUUUCAUUUGAAUUAUAUUCCCCGUACAUUUUAUGAGUGUUAAAGUUGAGUUUUUUCUGGAUAAUACUUUUUAUGUUUUUUCUGUCCAACUUAUACCCUUCACCUUCAUGGGCUUCACAGAUAGCGUCCAACAGAUUGCUGCAUGAAUAAUCAUUCCAGCCCACCCUUCCGUUUCUGGAUAAGUUUAUGAUUAUGCAAUCUUCAGGGUCUCCUGAGUUUACUCGGUUCGGCGUCGGCCCAGUUAGCGUAUCAUGGAUACAGAUUUGAUCCCGUAGUCUCCCAAACCCACUUACCCUCAAUUAGUUCAUCAGAACCCGAGGUCCAAAAUGCAUCUUUGAAAUAAAUCGUAUGAACGUCAAUUUAAACGGAAGCGAGUGGCUCUUACUAUUUCGAAAAAUAUACAAUUUAACAGGUUUACACGAAACCGCCUGUACAAAUUCUUUAUUGGCCU
Molecule: long non-coding RNA, 1870 nt
Organism: Daphnia pulicaria
Lineage: Eukaryota; Metazoa; Arthropoda; Branchiopoda; Diplostraca; Daphniidae
Exons: 7
Source: RefSeq, a predicted model, not a curated record